This 724-nucleotide ribosomal RNA is filed under the name uncultured bacterium. Its description in RNAcentral is "bacterial SSU rRNA". It matches the Rfam family "Bacterial small subunit ribosomal RNA", at positions 111 to 823 of the family's 1533-position model. The record is from RNAcentral.
UAACGCGUAGGUAACCUGCCUUGUAGCGGGGGAUAACUAUUGGAAACGAUGGCUAAUACCGCAUAACAAUGGAUGACACAUGUCAUUUAUUUGAAAGGGGCAAUUGCUCCACUACAAGAUGGACCUGCGUUGUAUUAGCUAGUAGGUGAGGUAACGGCUCACCUAGGCGACGAUACAUAGCCGACCUGAGAGGGUGAUCGGCCACACUGGGACUGAGACACGGCCCAGACUCCUACGGGAGGCAGCAGUAGGGAAUCUUAGGCAAUGGGGGCAACCCUGACCGAGCAACGCCGCGUGAGUGAAGAAGGUUUUCGGAUCGUAAAGCUCUGUUGUAAGUCAAGAACGAGUGUGAGAGUGGAAAGUUCACACUGUGACGGUAGCUUACCAGAAAGGGACGGCUAACUACGUGCCAGCAGCCGCGGUAAUACGUAGGUCCCGAGCGUUGUCCGGAUUUAUUGGGCGUAAAGCGAGCGCAGGCGGUUUGAUAAGUCUGAAGUUAAAGGCUGUGGCUCAACCAUAGUUCGCUUUGGAAACUGUCAAACUUGAGUGCAGAAGGGGAGAGUGGAAUUCCAUGUGUAGCGGUGAAAUGCGUAGAUAUAUGGAGGAACACCGGUGGCGAAAGCGGCUCUCUGGUCUGUAACUGACGCUGAGGCUCGAAAGCGUGGGGAGCGAACAGGAUUAGAUACCCUGGUAGUCCGCGCCGUAAACGAUGAGUGCUAGGUGU